GAUGAACGCUGGCGGCGUGCCUAAUACAUGCGAGUCGAGCGAACAGACGAGGAUCUUGCUCCUCUGACGUUAGCGGCGGACGGGUGAGUAACACGUGGAUAACCUACCUAUAAGACUGGGAUAACUUCGGGAAACCGGAGCUAAUACCGGAUAAUAUAUUGAACCGCAUGGUUCAAUAGUGAAAGACGGUUUUGCUGUCACUUAUAGAUGGAUCCGCGUCGCAUUAGCUAGUUGGUAAGGUAACGGCUUACCAAGGCGACGAUGCGUAGCCGACCUGAGAGGGUGAUCGGCCACACUGGAACUGAGACACGGUCCAGACUCCUACGGGAGGCAGCAGUAGGGAAUCUUCCGCAAUGGGCGAAAGCCUGACGGAGCAACGCCGCGUGAGUGAUGAAGGUCUUCGGAUCGUAAAACUCUGUUAGUAGGGAAGAACAAAUGUGUAAGUAACUAUGCACGUCUUGACGGUACCUAAACAGAAAGCAACGGCUAACUACGUG
RNAcentral lists this ribosomal RNA (497 nucleotides) under uncultured bacterium. RNAcentral's name for it is "partial 16S ribosomal RNA". It matches the Rfam family "Bacterial small subunit ribosomal RNA", at positions 28 to 507 of the family's 1533-position model. The record is from RNAcentral.